CUACGGGAGGCAGCAGUGGGGAAUAUUGGACAAUGGGCGAAAGCCUGAUCCAGCCAUGCCGCGUGUGUGAAGAAGGCCUUUUGGUUGUAAAGCACUUUAAGCAGUGAAGAAGACUCUAUGGUUAAUACCCAUAGACGAUGACAUUAGCUGCUAGAAUAAGCACCGGCUAACUCUGUG
RNAcentral lists this ribosomal RNA (177 nucleotides) under uncultured bacterium. Its description in RNAcentral is "partial 16S ribosomal RNA". It matches the Rfam family "Bacterial small subunit ribosomal RNA", at positions 339 to 507 of the family's 1533-position model. The record is from RNAcentral.